GCACAAGCAGUAAAGACCAGCUACAUAAAAUGGAAAAGUGGACAGCUAUCUGCUGUUUUAGCACGCUUUGCAUGCAGAGGAGAUGCAGACGGCAAAGAAGGAAAGGGUUAAAGCCAAAACCGACAAAGAAUGGCAGCUGGCGGUAGUGCAAGCCGUGUCGAGGCCGGGGGGGCUAUUCUGCUCAGCAAAACCAGCAAUCGAAAGGGGGGAGAUGGAAAAGAGGAGGAGGAAGAUAUCGGAAUGAAACUGAAAGAAACUCUGAAAGGUGGGGUUGUUGGAUCUGCGAGACUGAUGAACAUGAGAUAUUGAAUUGUACCAGAUGCAGACUGUGCAAAAAGGACGAUCAUUGGGCGAGGGAAUGCCCGGAGAACCAGCGAAAUCAACAAGCAGACUGAAGCGAGGGAGACGGAGAGCAGAGAGGAGGGGUCCAGGGCGAGCGACCAACAGUCACAACAAACUGGACCCAGUUACAGAAGGCCUGCCACACUGUCUGAGGGUGCUGUUAGCUGCUGAGAAGGCUGUGAUGGCUUCUAGAGAAUUCGUAGGUUACUCUGAUUUGACAUUGAUGGUGUCUCACGCAGUGACCAUAAUUUAGCAGGAACAGAAAACAUAACGAUGGUUAAGAUAUCAUACUAUUCUGCUUGAUAUGACUAACAUCACUGUUAAGUGAUGCACAACCUUGAAUGUUGCUACUCUCCUUCCAACAGAAGAGGAUGGAGAAAAGCAUCAUUGUUGUUUAACAGCACUUGAACAAGUGUGUACGCCACGUCCAGACCUGUCUGACGUGCCAUGUGAAAAUUGUGAAAAUGUCCUCUUUGUGGAUGGCUCAGCUUUUAAAGAUCCACAAACAGGCCUGAAUAAGGUUGGUUAUGAGAUAACUGAAUUGGACAUUGUGACCUCUGGCUCAUUGCCAUCAAAUUAUUCGGCACAAGCAGCUGAGCCUGUGGCAUUAACAGAAGCAUGCAAACUAAUGACAGACAAAUGUGUAACGAUUUACACAGAUUCACGAUAUGCAUUUGGGGAUACUCAUGAUUUUGGGGCGCUGUGGAAACACAGAAAGUUUUUAAAGUCAGAUGAGCGACCAAUAUUAAAUGCACCCCUCGUGGCAGAUUUGUUAGACGCUAUUGUGCUUCCAAAAAAGAUAGCGAUUUGUAAAUGCGCAGCGCAUACUAAUAACAAAGAUUCUGUAUCUACAGGAAACGCCAGAGCAGACGCAGCGUCGAAGGCUGCAGCAACGCAGCAGACAAAAUCAUCAGAGUGUACUUUGUUAUCUGAAAAUAACCCUGACAUUUCUUCAUCUUUACAGGGCAUGCAGACAUUUGCGACAGGGCAGGAGAGAGAGAAAUGGAAACAGUGUGGCUAUGAGGUGGUGAAUGGAGUAUGGAUGAGCAGAGAUGGCAAGCCUUGUUUACCCAAACACUUCUUUCGUCGAUGCAUGGAAAAGACCACGCAUUGAAAGGGGGAAUUAUUAUGUGAAUUAAAGAAUUGUGGUUUACAAAGGGGUUCAAAAUUGAUGCAGAAAAUAUUUGAAAAAAGAUGUGUCAUUUGUAAUACACAUAAUGUGGCAAGAGGCAUAAAAAUGUCUCAGGUAUCCCAGACAGCGCCGAUGGAUUUCAUUGAACUGUUCCCAUGUGAAGGGAAGGAAAAAGGGUUUGGUAUUUGUGGACAUGUGGUCCAAAUGGGUAGAGGUCUGCCCAAUGUCCAAACAGGAUGCAGCAGCAGUAGUAAGGGCUCUGCUGACUGAAAUAGUCCCGAGAUGGGGAAAUUCCACGAAAAAGCAGUUCGGGCAAUGGAACACAUUUUGUGUAGGGGCAAUAAAAACCUAACUGGUUAAGUGUUGUGAGAAAACUGGAGAAUGUACAUGAGAAUGAGAAAUCGAUCCAGAGUAAACCUGAGCCCUUUUGAAAUUCUCUUUGGCUAUACACCAUUUGUGAGUAUUGAAGGGGUUAAACAACAGCUACCAUCUACAGGUGUGUGAGCAUGACACGUUGAGUUAUCGCAAGGAAAUGUCUUCUCUGUUGUCUAAUGUCUGUGUUCAGGUGAAAGCUGCUCAGGAGAAGGGUGCUGAAACACGACCUGAAACCAGGAGAUUUCGUGGUGGUACGAGAUCUGAGGAGAAAGAGCAGGAAGGCGAAAAGGUGGCUGGGACCGUUCCAGGUGCUUCUGACCAGUCACACGGCUGUGAAGGGAGCAGAGAGAGCAACGUGGAUCCAGGCUAGUCACUGCAGAAAGGUCCCACAGAAAGGAUCUGGAGACACACGUCAACAAGGCCAAGAAUCCAGCCUAAACAUCAAUCGUCCUUAUCAGCGGGAAGAGCAAGAUUAAGACUGAAAAACAGCAUCGAAGUAGUCUGCGCGCAAGUGAAAAGAUAAAUAUGAGCAUCAUAGUUGGGUACAUCAUGUUGUUUUCAUAUUUCAGACUACAGUGACAACGUUAUCAAUAUCAUCACCCACAUGAGAAUGGCCGUAAAAGAGCCUGAACGUACACAUAAUGCUGCUAAAUGAUUUUUGCUGCUAUUAUGUCUACCAUGUAUUUUUUUAGUUGAGAUCCAGCUCAAUGAAGGGGCGACACCUGGGGGGAAAACAGAUGUCUGAGAAUGACCUGAAAGGGUCAUUGGGCCAUAUAGUGGGGGGACAAUGUCUGAGGAUGACCUGAGGGGGUCACCUAAGUCCUAAAUAUGUGAGAAACCGCCCAUAGAGAGUGUUCCUUGUUAUUUGUGGAAAGUUACAGCUGUUGAGACUCUGUAACCUUGAAGCAGCAGAGGUAUAUAAGGUGGAGGACUGCCCUCUUCCUGGGUCGCUUUCACUCUGCAGGAACUCAGUGUUGCUGUAUGACUGUCUGACCUUCUUUGCAAAGAAUAAAAGCUUGCUUUUUAAUUAUA
Carassius gibelio (silver crucian carp) is the source of this 2881-nucleotide long non-coding RNA. RefSeq lists it as uncharacterized. The record is from RefSeq and is a predicted model, not a curated record. The transcript is spliced from 2 exons. NCBI's taxonomy places the organism in Eukaryota, Metazoa, Chordata, Actinopteri, Cypriniformes, Cyprinidae.